AGUAUCAUAACCAAUGAAGUUAUUCUGAGGUGUGAUUAUUGCUAGUUGAAAACUUUAAUCUAAA
Molecule: small nuclear RNA, 64 nt
Organism: Terrapene triunguis (Three-toed box turtle)
Lineage: Eukaryota; Metazoa; Chordata; Testudines; Emydidae
Gene: U4
Rfam family: U4 spliceosomal RNA
About the family: U4 small nuclear RNA (U4 snRNA) is a component of the major U2-dependent spliceosome.
Source: Ensembl